Gasterosteus aculeatus aculeatus (three-spined stickleback) is the source of this 31337-nucleotide long non-coding RNA. Lineage: Eukaryota; Metazoa; Chordata; Actinopteri; Perciformes; Gasterosteidae. The record is from Ensembl.
GUUGUAAGGUGUCAGAGGCCAUCUUGAGCGGCUAUAAUCAAUAUUUAUAAACCAACAAUGGAUCGGAUGACUGUGUAGAUGGAAAAAGUCUUUUUGAAAUUGUGUAAUUCAAUCUUGUAGCGUUUAACCUCAUUACAAUCCCAUCAUUUAAAUGCACAUCAAAAGCCACACCAGCCGCCACCUACGCUGCGAUUACUGCAAACCACACUGGGGUCACGGCACCAGUCAGCGCCGCGCUAACAUUGCGUAGGUGCAGAGGCUUUGGCAGCGGUCACCAGCCUCUUUGGGGCUUUUUUUGCGCUCUGUGUUUUUGGCCCUUCUUCAAGGGAGAUCAAUUUUAAUUUUAUGUGAAUUAAGAAAUAGUUUGCUGUAGUUUCUUUUGUGUCCCUUAAUACCCGUUGGACCGCUGAGAUUCAUCCCUGCUUCCAGGUAACGAACCAGCAGCUCUUCUAGAAAUCUUGAUGGUAUUUGUUAGAGACUUGGAGAGUGUGACUCACUCACUUUACUCACAUAGAGAGAGAAGUCGGGUUUGGACAAGUCUCUAACUAUUUGACCUAUAGGUGCGUUUGACAUCACACCGUCUGCGCAAGAUGAUAAUGCCUUGAUGAGGGAGGAUUUACAAGUUCAAUAAAUGACAGAAUUCUGAAGUGAAAAGACAGACAAUUAUAGUUAACUCGGUGAAAAUAGAGCAAUGAAGCAGAAUAAAAAAUAAAAAGCUUUUUCAGCGAGUGGGAUUGUUGUGCUCGUGCGAGCAUUGUGACGUUGCGUCUCUCCUGCAGGACCUGGUGCACCGGCUGCAGCAGCGCCUGCUCCUGCUGGCGGAGGCGAGCUCCCGGGACGGCGAGCUGCUGCGGCAGGUCGGCACAGAGCUGCUGUGCCUGCAGAGCUCCGAGGUGGAGCUGGAGGGCCUGGUGGAGGAGCUGCACGCCGAGGCCCAACGCAAGGCCGGGAUGGCAGAGAGCCUCCAGGCGGAGCUGCACGCUGAGGCCCAGCGCCGGGCCGCCCUGACGGAGAGCCUGCAGGCGGAGCAGCGCAGGCAGGACCCCUCCUCACGCUUUCUGAUUGUAUAGAUUAAAAUGUCCGUGUACGGACUUACAUUGCAUUGAUGGUGGGGAUAUUUGUAGGAAUGUGCACGUGUUUUCAGAUUAAGGUUGAGCACAUUCCUUUACUGUCAUACCUCCUUGUUCUGUUGAAUCGUUGCUAGUUGGAUUUGAAACACAUUCCUCCGUGUUUCACACAGCUUUUCAAACCGACCAACACAUAAAGCAACACGUUUUAUUUAACUCUAACAAAAAUCCCAAAUGAAAAGUUGUUUUUUAAGUAAAAUGCUAUAGAUGCUAAAGGUAGUGUUUUUUCUCAGUUCUGUCCAGAUGAUAGCCAACAUUUUGUAAUUUUGAGAAAUCUCUCUGAAAAGUAAAUUCCAAGUCAAGCGAAUGAAACACACAUUUAAAAAAAACAAUCCUUUCCUCUAUUUGUCCCCAACAGGAAGAGGGCCGAGCUGGAGGAGCUACGAGACACCAACCAAACGCUGACGGACGAGCAGAAGGAUCUACGCUCGGCUCACCAGACGCAGGUAAAGGGAGCCGAUGCAGCUCCGAGGUGUUUCGCUUAACCUCUGACCUCGAUUAGGUUAUUCACACAAACCAGACAUUCAAACCCCAUCCGGCAAUGAACAAAGAGCCGGUGGCCGUAGUGAGACUGUUGUCCAGCAGGUGUCAGGAUUGGACUUUUUGUCCACCGCUGCUCUGGCACUUUCUAUCGCCGCGUAAAUAGAUAAAUAAUGGCCGUUGAAUGUUUUUAGAACCAAUGUGGCUUUUUUAUCGCUGUCGAGCUUCCAGCCAACUCCUCCAGAAAUGUGCAACAUGGUCCUGCUGCCAGCUCCUCCUAUCAGAAGUAACGUCUUAAAACUGAUCCGGGGCCAGUUUAACAUCAGAGACCAACAAGUCUGCUGCUGCCGCCUGAUUUUGAUUGAUUCAAUUGCAUGAAAUCUAAAACCUCACGGUUCAAAUUUACGGCCCCAAUUUGAAAAACUACAACCACCCGUGAGAAAAGGCACAAAUUCAGAUUUUUUAAAAUUUAUUUCCUGGCAUCGGCAUUCGUUUCAAUGUGUUUUGAGUCGGGGCACCAGCGAAGCAUUCCCACCCAGUGUGAGGAUUUAAUAUUUGUAUUAGACCCCCCUCCCUCGCUGGCCCCCGUUUCUACCAGUCCAUCAAAACCGGCAGAAGAACACGGUUAUCUCUGCUGCGAGAAGGACCGACAGACCGCCCCGCCAGUGGGAAACCUAACGAGAACCUUCAAGCCUGUGAAUUAUUGUGAAAGUCCAGAGAGCCGGAGAUCACGUCCGACCCCCUUUUUCUUUUGCGUUUGCUCAUCUUUCCAGAUGACGGCGCCGGGUUCAAGAGGCUCCUAUUUUUCCCUCCGACCAUAUCGAGGCCUCCGUCUAAGCCCCUGACAUUAUUCAUACAAAAAUGAGGCGAUAUAACAACAUCCUGCUUUACUGUGUUGGAGGUGAGGGAGCUGCAGCAGGAGAACGAGGGGAGUCUGAGGAAGCUGCAGGCGACGGCGGAGCAGUUCGAGUGGCUCUGUCAGCAGCAGCGCGGCUGGAUGUGUUGUGUCAAGAGGUACGGCGUCUUCUCCGUGCAUCACGCACAGCAUCGAUACGGCAGCCCGAACAAACUGGCAACAUUACAGCGGUGCUGGUUGACUAUUUGGUUUUUGGACCCUUUUCACACGGAUCAAAGAGACAAUUGUUAAGGAAUAGUUUGACACAUUAGGGUCUGGUUGUGAGUUUUUGCUGAAUUUCUUACAGUCUUUAUUGAUUAAACUGAUACGUGUUGAUUGGGGAGAUUUAAAGGCCUUCAGUCGGCCUUUAGUUACUUCUUCCAUUUUCAUUUACAUACAAAACUCAAUCCUUUCUUUAAGCUUCACCCAAAUUGUUUUGUUUACCAAACCUAACUUUGUUGUUUCCUCAACCUUGAGCAGAUUGACUUUUUUGGAAAAAUCCCUUAAAAUAAGGAGCCCUUUUAACGCCCUCAUAUUUGGAUUAGCCUAGCUUAGCAUAAAGCCUCCAAGCACCUUUAAGGCCGGCGCAUUCUUCUGCGUCGUUGCGUCGACGCACUCGUUUAAAAGUCUUGCGUGUGUUGCAGAGCAAUUCACCUCCAGAACAACAGGCGGAGUGACGUGUUUCUGUUGAAGACGACCUCGAGAGUCACGUCUAUUUAUUUAUUUGUUUGUUUAUUUAUCAUAGGCUUGUAGAAGCGCUCAUAUUUACGCAUUUCUUCCCGACAAAAGUUCUUAAAUCUGAUCCGUUCUCUCGUAAACAUUCUUUUUUAUUCCUCUGAAUAAAGUGAAAAACAACCCCCCCCCUUGAGUAGUUCUGAGUCAUAAAGAUGUCCAUCUCUGAGGAGCAAACCACUCCACAGACGUCCACGUGUAGCCGGGACUCGUCUCACUUCAUCGGGUUUAACUAGACGCUCGCUCCCUGCUGGGUUGCCACAGAUUCAAGGACAGCCUGAUGGAGGAGAGGGACGCUCUGCUGCGACAGGUCGUCGCCCUCAACAAGAAGGUCGAGGAGCUGAAGAAGAGUUUGCGCGAAGACGCUCCCACGCAGAGCGUCCUCCGUCCCCCGCAGGACACUAAACGCCGUGACAGGUCAGGAGGUGGACAGACGAGCGGACGGGUUCAGUAGAGUUAUCACCGCGAUGAAGCUGCCAGAGUUCAGCUGCGGUUUUUUUAAAUUAUUUAAAAGGACUCCCACUGGCAUUAAAUAAAGAAAAGAAAAUUCCUCUUGGUCUCCCAUCAUUUUCAUACAUUUUCCUACGACUCUUUCUCUUCCAAGCAGCUUAACGUCGUUGGACGCAGACGCUGUGGCUGACCUGGAGUCUCGGGUGGAGAAGUCAAACAUGCUGUACGCGGCGCUCUUUAACCAGGUACCAGUUUCAUUCUUCUGCUUCUCGAUCCUUGUCUGCUGCAGCGCUUUUAUUGUGGUCCUAACCCUAAAGAUAGCGACUUUACUAUCACACAUCGCAAAGAAAAAGCAUCCAAACCUCAAAUAUGAGAAGACGGUGAAUCAGGAAACCGGGAACUAGGCGACAUUUCUACGGAAAAUCCAUAAUUUGGUGAACCAAAUAGUUGCCGAUCAAUUUUUUUUCCAUCCAUUAAUCAGACAGUUGUCCUUCUUAAAAAAAGACAACAACUGCAUCCUCUAACUUCUUCCUCUCUUGGUAUUUUACAGCAACCAUUCGACAAACCAUUAUUUUAAGAGCAACAUUUGUGUAUGAUUACGCCUUUGGAUCAAAGACAAGAACUGAUCCGAGGUCUGAAACAGAAGACAACAGAAAGGAAAAGAAACAGAGCUGGUGUGUUCCGGAGCCCUGAAGCUUCUUGGGCACCAGACUCUCGUCAUUCUCCUUUUCAUUAGAAAGGCUGGUUGAAAAGGGGGCACACGGCGCCCUUUGUCCCCCUUAGAUUUAAAAUACCUUCGACACAUCCUCCAGGAGUGAUGAAAGCUUGCCGGGUAGUUCAAUGUCUUUGUAUAAUAAAAAGUACCUGUUGUACAUUUAUUAAUUCACCUUUAAGACUCCUAAGCUGCAGAGUUAUUGGAGCUGCCUUCAAAAGACCAAGUGCCUUUUAAAGUCACCAUGUUCAGUUGUAGUUUUUUAAACCCUGGAUCUGAGACAAGUGCAGAAACACAGACAGUCAUCUGAGGGGGGGGGGGGGGCGCCAGCCCCCUGUGGACUUGUAGCAGGGCCAGAACAUUCAUGAAAGCCCCGGUCACGGGCACUGGAGUCCAAUCAGUGAUUCACUUUUUCUGUCUUGUCUGCUCUUUAAAAGUUUCAGAGCUUUGACUUUUGACUGAAAAUCGGCAUCACAAUCAGACAGGAAGCCCCGCGUUGUCCCACAAAGAGCUCCUCCAGGAAGAGCUCGCACAUCCUGACAGCACCUCAAACGCUUUCCUCAGACAAGAACCCAAGAGGUGCUCGCACUCCGCUUUGGGAUUUUUCAAAAAAAAAUCUCCCGCAUACACUGCGGAGUGUUUCUUUUCCUCCUCUCUCUUUACAUCUGCGAUUGAGAGGAAGCCCGAGAGACAGAACAUAAGGCCGAUGCUCGUGUGCCAGAAGCCCUUCAGGAGAUCAGGCUGAUACUUUCUGGGCACCGGAGUCCCAUCGGGUCUCUUUCUGUCCGUCUGUCAGUGGGCUGCGCAUGGCUUCCCUCCCAAACCUCCCCUCUUCCAAAGCGGCAGAGAGAUGACUAAUGGCGGCUCGAGGGGAGGCGAGUGCCAGCGAGGCCUCGGCGCUGCGCUCCCCUCACACGCUGCGUUUCUCCACAUCAUUAUUCUGAUUGAGUGCAGAUGACGCAAGGGGCUUUUCAUUCUUCUUUUUCUAAUUUCAGUUUUUUUUUUGAAGGAGCACUAUUUCUACAACCAUCUUCUUGCGUUUGCCUUAUGAGCUUCAUGAGAUAAAAUUCCAGGACUCAAAAGACGUUAACAGGAGAGUUUAAGACAAUUUAAAAUCAUCUGCUUAAGCUGCAGGAGACAUGGAAGCGAGGUGAUGGGGGUCUACAAACUCGUUAAUUUCGUAAUUAUGGGAUGUAACAUAAAACUUAAUAAUUCUGGUCAGCAAUGGAUACUCAGCGUAAUGAAAAAGCUUGUGAACCGCUGUUAUUUUGUUGUAUUGUUAUUUGAGUCCUCAUCGGGUCACGCUGUGUAUUCUGAGCUUUUCAUCCGGUUGAAACCCAGCUUAGACCUUUCUAUCUGGAUCUCCUACUCCGGUUCCUCUUUUUGCUCACUUUCAGAGUCAUCUUCACUUAAAGUUGUUCUUUUGUUUUCUGUCCUCAGGCAGGAGUCCUCAUCAGCGGAUACCAACACCCUCCUUGAGGACCUGCAGCCUGCAGCCUGGACUCGUCUUCCUCUUCUCUUCCCACCUUCUGCAAACCACAACUUUACCGCUAAAUGUUUGUGUGCGCGGUGAACUUUGUAAAAUACCCGCCAGUCGUUGUCGUAAAAAAAAAAGAAAAGAAAAGAAAACAUGGAACAGCUUAACCGACUCGUUCCCAGAGCCUUUUUUCCCCCUGUCUUCCUUUUACUGUGACACGUGCACAUCACAUGAUGUCACAUUCUCCCGUAAUCGUCCGUUACUCAGACCGUGUAAUCAACACCACCAACCAGAGCGGUGAAGCACCUGCGAAUGUUCUCUUCUGUUGUGUUGCCAAUGAAUCCUCUCUCGGGGGAAGCAGCUGCUGGCGAGCAACAGGAAACAACAAAACGUGCCGUUCAGAGCAAACCGAGGCCCGGCGGAUGGUUUCCUCCGCACGGAGGAUCUGGUUCAUCUCCGCUCCGAACGAGGGGAGAUCCUCACUUAUCAGCACGGAACAGGGAGACGUACGGGAGGGGCCAGUGCUGUCGACUCGAUGGUCUUCAUCGAAAUGGGAAACAUGUGACGCACACAUGCUUCGAGUAACCCUUUGGUUGCUGGACUGACGCGACGAAGCCUCGAGUCCGACGGCAUCGCCGUCGUGGAUUACACGGUCACUUUGUGCAAGUUACGAUAAUUGGAAUCACAACAAGCUCCGCCCUAAAGCAUAUUCGUGCGCUAUGGUUUAGUGGACCGUAAUAUACUAAAUGAACAUCAUGCUGUAUUGAAUAAGAUCAAGGCCAGCAACUCAUGUUUACAGUGUUUACUGAGGGAAUAAGUCAUUUUCUGCACAAUCGGAGUUGCAGCAGCAGCAGCCAGAGAUGUCGACUUGAUCCACCAAAGUUCAACAAAUAAUCCAACAUGUUGUUUUUUGGGCAGUUCACCACACUUUGUUAAAGUCAGGAAAAAAUUGUUGUUUUCCUUGACUAAAGUGAGCACAGAAGGGAAAGGGCAACCUUUCUCCUAACCUCAAUUAAAAGUUUGAGUAGCCUCAGAGCUUGUAGGAAGGGAAGUAGGAAGCAGGGGGCAAAUUGAGAAGUCUUGAACCUUUGUUGAAGGUACAAGCAUUGGAUGACACACCGUUUUAGUGAGAACCGAUGCCAUUUUUUAAUACAAAAAAAAAAAACGUACAAAAACAUACUUUCCACUCACUUUGUGGGUUUGUUUCAGCAUCUCAGUCACCGACCCAUCGUUCCAUUACCACCCCUCCCAGUGUGAUAGUUGUGGUGAACGUUGCUCCUGCAUAUUGAGGUCGCGCUGUGCUUACGGGAAAGCUGACUUUGCAUGAAACAGAAGGACUCGAUGCCAGUCGGCACUCACGCCCCUUAAACAGAAAGCUCUGUGGAAAUGUGAGAAUUGAGAAAUGAUGUGACGGGUCAUAAAUGUCCAAAAGUCUCAACAAUAAGGUAAAGAUAUCAACAACAGCAAAGGCAAGCUGGGGGAAAUCUUUCAGAGGAGCUGAAGUUGAGGACAGAACACGAAAAAGUAUUUUCUAAUACUAAAAAGUCGCACCCGCAUCAACUUAAAAAUUGAAAAAUAACUUCUUGGCACAGGGCGGCUUCAGGUCAGAGUUCUGGACCCCCGGUGGGGUGGGGUGAGGGAGUUGGGGGGUAGGGGGGGUGAGGGGUGGUCGCGCCACCAGACGUGUAGCUCGGAGGCCCCGCGACACUCCUCGGCCCUCAGCUUGACCACGAGGGACGGCCGGCGGCCGCCUCCAGGCCGAGCGCUACACGGAGCCCGACCUCGGCGGCGGAGGUGUAGCCCGGGAUUAACAACGUGUGGCGGCUGGAAACAGGUCGCGUUUGCACACAAUAAAUAGCGCCGCGCCGCGAGACUCAGACGUUAUGGCCGUUACAAUUAGGGGUGGAGAAAGAAUAGCACGUUUAUGUCCAGCCCGUCGUCCCUGGCCAGGCAAAGCACAUAACAGAUAUUUAACACCAGGAUGUAGCCGUUAAACAAAGUGGGACUUGUUAAAGUGGAGACUUUUGUCUGUGCACUUGCUUGUGCAAACACAGAUUAUGUGGUACAAGUAUGUACUGUACGCAGCUGGUGUGGAUCAUAAAUAACACCACAUGGAGUCUGGAAAAAGUUCAAUUAUUGUGAAUAGAAAGCGUUCAUUAAACAUUUACGAGAGCCCGAGUUCACUCGGGGAAAUACAUUCAUCUGUCUGCUCUCGCAAAAACAAACGGCGGGAUGUUCGGCGCGUAGCUGUUUGCGGUUUUUCGGAGCUUAAAACCGACAGGCAAAAUGUUAGUGAAACGCGGAGUCACGUCUCGUUCUCUCUCCACGUGGAGAUCGGACCUCCACCCGGCGGAGUUAAGGGUUGUUUACCGCCGCGUCCUCUGUGUGUACCGCUGUUUGGUUUCAUCGGAUUGAUUAGCGGGGCUCGCGUGCUAAUGCGAAACAGAGCGGGAUGAUGCAUGUGGGUUUUUUUGGGGGAGGGAGGGGGAGUUGGUGUCUUUCUCUCUUGACACUGUUUGGAUGCGCAUGUAAAUGUUUAACGGUGGCGUGAGUAAACACACGGCAGGGCGAGGUGUCGGGGGGGGGGUUCGAGAGGAGCCCGCGCUGCGUGACACGAGCACGAAGCCGCGCGUAAACACGGAGCUUUUCUCCCCCCCGAAGACACGCUGACAUCACGCGUGGAGGAAUCCUCCCGCGUAAACAAACUCGAUCAACAAUACAACUGGAAAACUCUCCAACGCGCGGGAGAGGGCGCUCAGGUUUGGCCCGACAGACCAGGUGACAUGAAUCCCGAAAGUUGAUUAAACCAACAACGCAACAAGACGGAAUGGCGUCAGUCCAUUCAGCCAACAUCGUACCGUGGCCGUCGCCACGUCGGUGGUCUUUGUGGCCCCCGGUGGAGCAUCUGCUGGAAGAAUCGACGCAGCCGGGCAGGAAAAAACAUGUGUCUGUUUCAUUUUUCAAAGUGACCACAUGCCGCAGUUGGAAUCAACAGCAUGCGUGUUGUUGUUUUUGUCCUCCACUUUCUACUCUCGUCUCCUCGUCUCGUUGUAGUCUCCAGUGUGUUUAUGGGAGGCGGCGGACGAGGCGGCGACCGGCCUUCGCACACCAUGCAAAACGGGGAUGUCGUCAACAAGUAGCUGGGUGUAAAAGGCAUAUUUGUAAAAGACGACGCGCCGCAGGUCUGCCAGGUUUUUUUUCCCGGCGCCACUUUGUGUUGCCGCGCGGAAUUAUUCCUCAACAGCCUGAUGGGCAGAAAUUCAGCUGAUCUCUGCGGAGCCGAACGGCUUGCAGCGCUUCCCUACGCGGGAGACCUCCUCCACCACCACAUCCUCAGCCGCUCUCUGCUCCCUGGCUCGACGCCUUCCCUUUCGUACACAUUCAACGGGCUGUCAGCAGACAGAAAAUGAUUGAUGACAGUUGCAGCACCAUCUGAGUGGACUUGUUCCUCCAUCCAAGCGAGAGCCGGUGGGAGAUUUUGUUCCCCCGGCGAGGUCAAGUUGGCCGGUUGUCACUUCUUGAAGCAGCGUUUAUGGGUUUUGGACUUUAUUUAAGGUAAAAGUUGUGGUUAAGCACGCAGGGCUGGAAGGAAAUCGCUCUGAGGUUUGGGGAAUAAAUGGAAGGCGAUGUAGGUCCUUCCAACUGAAGUAAUGCAAACAUGUGCGUAGCCGUUUCCUCGCUUGACAUUGGCAAGAUGUUGACCCACCAUUGACCCCUGGUUGGCAUGUGGCCGCAGCUUGUUUUACAGCCCGUGGGGGGCGAACGAGGGCCGACUGUGUGUGUGUGUGUGUGUGUGGCGGCGGCGUCCGGACCAUCGAGAGCACAGGUGAAGCACAGCGGCGAGGCCGUUCCAGAGGAAAAAGCCUCCCUUCCCCGUCGUACGAAGCCUAAUAUCAAUGAUCUGGAAGACAGAUGUGCUUUACGUCGAGGACUACUCUUUCCACUCGAUGGAGUGUUUACACUGGCAGAGCAUUUUGACUGAUAUUAUGGUGGCAGUUCCUCAUUCUUAUUACAUUGUCAAUACUGCCUGUGGUCUAAAUUUUGAUAAAUUGCUCUGGAGGAGAGAUUUCCAGGCGGACGGAGCCGGAAGCUGCAGCUUGAAUUUGUUUUUCGGCUAUUGGAUUGUAUUUUUUUAUGAUGUCACCACGUGAAGGGACGAGGUAGAUGAAGGCAGGUUCCCUUUAAACUCAGAGACUAACUAUAAAUAUAAGCUACAACUACACAAUUAUAGUUUACAACAACUCUAAUCUCUGCUUGUAGUAUUGCAGCAUUUGCUCUACUCUGCCCUCCCGUGACGUCCAAAGGUCUAUAAAUGAUGGGAAAUGGUGUUUGUUAAAAACACAAACAUAAAUAAUACUGUUGAGAAUAUUGAAUGUCAUUAGCCUGCAAAUUUCUUUGAUUUUUUUACUGGAAUUUGCUGGAAUAGAUAUUAUAAGUCCUGUUUUCACUUUGACUGUUUAUACUGUAAUUAUGGAAAGCACGAAGGCUGGGAAACCAGCAUUCUGAAGGCAAAACCCAAAACUAAUAAUCAACAUGUUUAAUCUCCACCACAAAACCACAACUAGUCCUUUUUUACAUUUCGUUUGAAACAAAAAAUGUUAAGUAGUGAGUUUUGAGAAGAGCUACAAGGUGGAUUAUGCUGCUCUUAGGCAAAGCCAGACCAGAGUUGUUGCUUUUUGAAUGGAUGGAAGCCAUGAGAGGCCUAGUCCGGGUCUUUUGUUGCUCAUGUCCCUUCCUGCACCCUCAGAUCCUUGGAUGCGUCCUCCAUGUGUACUUUACAAACAUGAGCACGGCUCACGGACACAUAAUAAUAAUUAUUAUAACAAUAAAGAGGUUGAAAAGAGCCACAUCAUUGGCUCAGACUUUGUCUCUUUCUAACUGUUGGUUUCUAACCGGCGAGGUAUCAGGCCGAGCUGCUGGCACCAAUUUGGUGUGCAGGUUGUAAACAUUUCUUCCUCGGGUCCUGGCAGCGACAUCUGCAAUCGAUUUUCUCCCAGACCUGAAAUGCCUCUUGUGUGCCAGGCCAAGAUUCUUUUUUAUGUCUUUGCUCUUUCUUCUCUUUUCUUUAAAUCAGUUGUUUCUUCAGACAUCCAUCUAUUCUUUUUGGCAGCUUAAACCAACUGUGGAGAUGCAAGUGAAGGAUCCUGGGACGAAAGUCAAAGGGUUUUUUUUUGCUGUCAGAUUAACAGUAGGUUAGACGAGAUGUCUUCCUUUGCCUGUUUUUUGGCCACUAGGACCUCAGCUGAGCCGCAGCAGCCCGGCUCCUGGCGGGCUUACGUCACGUUGUGUGGGGAAGAAUUAUCGUCAGCCCUCCUCAUAUCGUGACGCUCUUCCUCGGCACGUGACGCCCCCCCCUCCUCCCGAUGAAAGCUCUGGUGGAGCCCGGCAUUAAAAGGCUCAGGCGAGCUCAGUCCCGGCCUCCCGCUUCUACACAUGUCAUGGGCGAGAAAAAAGAAUCCGAGUUGAGCAGCAGAGCAAAUUGAGAGCAAAUGGAAAAGACUUGCCACGCGACGAGGGCGGCCAUGUUAGGCCCAAUGUGAGACCAGCUGCACAUUCCAAUACCCGCCAUUUAUUAUGCCACAGGAAGGCAGGGUGUCCCGAUGAUAGCGUGUCGAAUGCAGAAUGCCCAAAUGCCAGGAUGUCCGGUUCCACGCUGCAGUAUGGAAUCCCCCAUUCUGACCCACAAUGCUGUGCGCUAUGAGCCAGAGGGUCAAAGUUCAGAAGCCACGUUAUGACGAAGUAGUACGUCCCAAACCGCGUGUUCAUCGCUGAUGAUCAUAUUCUUUUAGAAUGGAGAAAAAAAAGUUGCAUUAUUGUUCGACUUUGUUCACCAGUAUAUGUUUUAUUAAACUGAAUAUUGCUACAACUCUCCAGAUCCAAUCUUGCUGUAAUAAAAGCCCUGGACAUAAACACUAACUCAUAGGGGGACUCAAAUUGACUAUUUCAGUAAACGUAAACUCAAUAGCAUAGCCUUCUUGACAUUUUAAAUUCAUGUUAUGAGCAUACUGAAGCUCAGUAUUAAUGCUUAAUGCCGCAACACAUUCACGGUCCAGGUGCCGUCAACUCAAACCAUCCUGACGUACUUUUAACUCCACACCAAAGCUCAGAGGUCUACGUCCGUGUUUGUCUUCCACUCCGUCAUCGGACUGCGCUCUGCGUCCUCUGCAGGCCGGAUGUCUCAGGUAUCUCUGCAGGAACGAGCCGGCCACUGGAGGUCCCUCUUGCACCACGCAUUGCCGGAUCAUUGAAGGCCCGUUGAACGUGCCUCAAAUGUGUCUUCAAUUAGCGGGCUGCAGUCAACACCAUCCUCUGACUUGGAAUGUCAGCCGAGAUGGAGAUGACCUUCUUGGUUUUAUCUUUUAUUUGCCCGUAAAAAACAACCCCAUCAAGGGACGGCUCUGCAAUGCACACAUUUCUUAAAAGCAAAAAGGAAAACUUUUCACCUCGGUUUCGAUGUGAGUCGCGUUGAACCGAUAGAAGUAUGUUCUGUUCCUGCAUGUGACGUCCCCCUUUUCAGUGUAAUGAAAGGGUAAGAUGAGAAGAUGCACAUGGCGGAGGUUCUUCAGCAGCGGGGCGCACGGAUGAAACGCAUGCAUACGUUACGGUUCCACCCGGAGCGGCUUUGAAAGCUAUUACGGUUAUAAUGUCCCGAUAUAGAAUAUCCGUGAAUUUGAUGAAUGCAUAAAAAAGACAGAUUCAGUGUUUUCCCUGGAAUUCUGUUUAAAGCGCUGUGGGAAAGUCUUCGAGACCGUCAACGGACACCAAAACGCUCCUUUGAAAUACAGACAAACAAGAAUAUUUUAGUUCUCUGAACCUUUUGUAGAGCUGUAAAAACCCACCAAACAUACAAACCUCACACACUGCAAACGUUACGUAUUAAAUUCAUGGAGCGCUGAGGUGAUUUUGUUAGUGGGUAUGCGGGAGCUGCAUUGAGAGGACGUGGCCUGAACAUGCAGAACAUUAUCCUCAGAUUGCUCAAACUACGGAGGGGAAUAACGCCACUAAACAUGAUACAAUUUAGAUGCAUCUUAGUGUCAACAAGCAAAUAGAACCAGAAUCAGACCAUUUGACACGCACCCACCCCCCCCCAUCUCACAUUUUUGGCCCCUGGUCCGAUUGGUCGACUCAGCUGGUGUGAUCCCCUUAGAAGAUGAUCUCCAGUACAAAGUAUUUCAAGAGUCCAUUCUCAAAGACGAUGCCCAAAUUAGUCAUAUGAUGUCGGAAUUGUGGUGUUGACAAAUAAUUAGUGACAAAUAAAGUGUGUUAGUGUCUGCGGUAGUGUGGCGCGACUAGCAUCCUUUUUACAUAUAGUCACACAUGUAAGCAGGGAUUCACUCAGACACUCAGAAACAUGUACCGAGAACAUGUACAUGUAUGCACACACACACACACACACACACACACACACACACACACACACACACACACGAUCACGCUGCCUUAACUCCCAUGUAAUAUUAUUGUAGGGUUUCCCACCUGUCUGCAGCUAUCGGCAGGAUCUUCCAGCUAUGGAUACCUCCCACCUACUGUGUCUGCAAUGUUAACACACACACACACACACACACACACACACACACACACAGUAGUGUCCUCCACAGUAGGAGAGGGCCAUAGACCGCAGGAAUGCAGUCUGCCCUUCUGCCAUAAUUGGGUACGACAACAAACCUUAAAACAUUCAGCAAACAAUUAUUGAAGACGAGAAGCCUCUGAGUUGUAACGUGGCCCCUUUUUGUGAAAAGAAAAUAAAGAAAUUAAAUCUCCGGGAAACACGAAACUCGUUUUCUCUCCAAAAUUGUUCCAGGUUUACUCUAAAAGUAUGUUUGAAUAAAGUGCAAAUGUGUUGCGAGGCACGUCACCGUGUGUAAAAUGGUCUGUUAAUAAGGAAAACAUGAAUAGGUUUAUGUUUAUGCCGGAUGCACGUUUUCUCAAUCGACCCCGCCGUUGACUUUGAUUUCUCUUUAAAAAGUCGAGUCAAAUAGUUGAUUGACAGAAAGUUAUUUGGAACAGCGGUGUGUGGAUAAAUGCUAAUAAAUAGAAAAAUGUUGGCUUUUUAAACGGUUGGACAAAAGAAGCAACUUGAGGAUGAAGCCUUGGGAAACAUUUUUGAUUGAAUAAUUCAAUUAUCAAAAAACUAGUUCAACUAUUUGCCAUUAAUGAAAAUAUCCCUGACACGCCGCUCUACUGUGAAGCCAUAUGAAAGCUUCCGUUAGGGCCAAAAGAAUUGAAUAGCGUUUAUUUUACACCAGAAAUGCAAUUCUGAAGACAUUAUAUAAGGCUUGGCAAGUCUGCAGCAGACCUAAUGACUGAAAUGUGCCGGGCCUGCUGUUAAUUAACUCGUAUUAUACAACCUGUGAAUAUUUUAUUCAUGACAAAUGUGACAAACGUAUUAUCUCAGCUUCUAAAUGUGAGGCAAAUUGAUUUUUUAGUAAUCAAAGAUUGACCUAAAAAAGACCUGUAAGAAUUGCCUCAUAUCAUCUGUUUCCAUUCAUGAAGAUACGUUCAGAUCUUACUGUUUUAAAAUGUGUUUAAUACUAGUUCAAACUGAGUUGACCAACUUAGGCUUAGGCCUAAUGAGAUGUUUGCUUGUUGUUGUUUAUCGUCCUUUAACUGGAGGCCGCCGCCGCCUUUAAAAGCUCUAAAUGUGGUAUCUGUGGUUUUUCCACUUGGACAGGAAUUGAUUCGUGGGUGGAAACACUUGUGUACGUUCUGCGGAAUGUUUGCAGUCACACUUUUGGAUUUGUGCGACGUCUGAAAAUGUCCUCCAUCGUACGUCGUUGCAUUCUUCAUUCUACCGUGGAGCAAAGAGCAAAAGCCCUCCGAUGUAAAUGAGAGAGAGAAAACGCGUGUGCGAAAAGCCUUCCGCGCGUACAUGCGUGACUUUGUGUGCACUGGAUCCUAUUUGUGAGUACAUCUGUACGCGAGUGUAUAUAAAUAUACGUUCAGCGUCUGUGCGAGGGUAAAUCCUUCUCCACUUGCUCGCGGACGUCUGCCAAGCAGACAGGGUGACAUGAGAAUCAAACCAUCUGCGUGCCCCCCCCCACAGCCAAGCAGCCAGUAACUUGCUCCAGCUGUCUGGGAAUGGAAAAGACGAUCCCGGGACGUUCCAAGCGAGGUUGCAACCGCGACGCAAAAGAAUGAGGGAUGGGAGAAGAAAAUGGGAGCGACGUAAGACGGGGCAGAUGUGAGGCGGUGCUCCAUCUAAGCUACCCGUCUUAACUUCUUCUUCUGCUACUUCUACUUCUCCAGCACACAAAAAAAAAAAAAAACCUCCAGAGGCGUCUUCAAACCUCGACGACGGCGGGUUUUAACCCGUGUUCUGAUGACGGACUGCCAGGAAACGCAGCGGGACGCCAAUGAUGAGUGAGACGUGCUGAAGGCCGUGAAAUGGAAGGUGCACGUGUCGCCGUCACGGCAGCCGGACAGCUCGGUGCGGCGCAACAAUCGUUUGAAGUGAUCACAUAAUCAAAAGCAGCGACAGCAAAUAUAUCUGAAUUACUGUUAUAGGAAAGAGGGGUUAAGGUUUUGUUGAUUUAGCCCAUUUAAAAGAAACUGUUAGCGCUGUUUAAUAAGAGUAAUAAAUGUGCUCUGAUGCGUCAGCACUGCUGUUCACUCUGUUAGCGCCGUAGCACCGUUAGCUGCUAGCUCUCAGCUUAGCAAUCUCCAUGUGAGAGACUCACAGAACCUGUGAGUGAGAAACUACCGUGUCCACAAAAUGAACUCAUGAAGUCACCAUCUGUUUUCUCUCUUAGCGGCGCUUUGCGUUUGGUACGAAGCGGCACCGACCGGCUGCACAGACACGAACCCGCUGCGUUAAUGUUAAUAUCUGGAGCGACCCAACGCGUCCCAACGCCGAAACAAUAGUUUCGAUGAGCCGACGAGGAUAGAAACCACUGUCACAACAGUCGACGCGACGCCGUCGAAGCAGGCGGCUGUGUGCGAGCCCCUUGAUUACAAAGAGAGAUGUAUAUCGCCCUGGAAAACACGCGGGCGGCUGCGUGGUUUCUUCUCCAGACCGCUUAUGUUCAACGCAUUUGGUGGAUGUUUAAUCGCGAUGCUAUCUCGCCACAAGCUCAAUAGCCUUCAGCGAAGCGCGGCGACGAUGCUAUCGCUACGCGGUCACUCGCUCUGGCUGUUUCAUAUUACAUUGACCGGAGAGCUAUGAAAAAAACUGCUGCAACAAAUCACAGCAGGCUCAAAGAAACGUGGACGCGUUUAGAUUUUUGUUGACUCACCAUCCACAAAGAGGCGGUUUGGAUGAUCUGCAACUGGUGAACGAGCACGUGCUUCGCCCGCUCCCUCGAUGUACAUUGCGUUUCUCUAUUCAUUCAGUUCACAAGCCGAAUCUUGAUGACUGCACAGAAUCACAAAACACAAAAUCUUGCAAAGCUACAGCUUUUUCUGCUUCAGGGAACAAACUGAGCCACAAGAUCAUAAAUCAGCACUGAUAUUUCCUGGCUUCAAAAUGUUCCUUAGCGACAGUAAGAGCGCUGUGUGUUUGGACGCCGUUUUUUUUCAUCGCUUUGGCCAAAAAAGCGGACCCACGUGUCACUGCAGCAGUCUGUAUUUAUGCCGCCGAUGCACACUGUAAUCUGGUCUCGAGCUGAAAUUUGGUAUCCAAACAUGAGGAACAUAUUUUAAUACAAUUUUCUGCACAGUGUGGCUUCUGUACAUCCAUUAAAUUGCCUCAGAGCUGAGGUCCAAAGCACUCCAAUACCACAAGCUCCCGAAAUAAAAGCAACAUAUUCGAGUGGAAGAAAGAAUACCUAUUCAUCUGAAGUCCACGGUAUUUACUUUGCGGCGCACUUUUUUUUUAAUAAUCCUAUAUGGCCAGGUUUAAAUCUCGACUUUAUGAACAGCGGUUUUCCCUGCAGGUAUUUUCACUGUCGAUUAACCCGUACGGAUUGGUGUCAAGGGGUGGUGGUUGACUUCUGGACCCCAGACAGGUUGGAGAAUGUCUGGCUGUAAAAGAGAGGAAGGGCCGUCUGGGUGUGGAGCCGGGAGCUCAGGGCUUCAGAGUCUGGGGGUGUACGUGUACUUACCAUAGUGCUGCUUUAUACAGCACAGUCUGCAAAGUCUGUGCUUUUCAAAUGCCAAAAGACUUGGCCUGGUCCUCAUUUUUUUUACUGUUGAACACAAUGAAUAAAAUUAAGGAUUUUAUAUGGGCUGAUAUUUUUUUUAUUUUUAUUACAGUUACAUUGUUUUUCCACAAUGAUUUUCACUUUGAGUGUCUCUGGAUUUAAAAGAGGAAAGUUCAAUCUACUACUCACGUCUUCUGCAGACACAGUUGCUGAUUCUAUUCAUGUUUUCCUCUCGGUAAUUGCCAAGAACUCCAAUUGUACUUUACUUGGACUCUUUCCAAAACUCUUCAAGGAACAUUCUGAAAUCUGAUUACAAAUCCAUGAGCAUGCAAAGUAAUUUCCACAAUCUCAUUCACAAUCAGUCAUCACUGAACAUUUGAACAUUUAUCAGGGAGUUCUGGGUUGUUUAUUGCAGCACACCAUUCAAGAACCAAAGAAGCAAGCGUAUCCAAACAGCAGACCAUCUCCACCAAGCUUUGGAGGUAAUCAGCGUGGGUUUGAAUAAAGGUCAGCGCGCACUGCGGCACGUUGGACAGCCGAGAGGGUCAGCGGAUACGGCGCUUUGAAGCAGCACAGGUCGGAGAGGAUUGAAGGGCGGCCGUGUGGCCAAAAUACCACGUGACCUGUAUAAACAGAGCGUCAACAUCCCUUCUUCGGUCUUCGCAUGGGGCAUCCAUGAUUGUGGAUACAGAAGCCAAAACGGAGACGUCUGUGCGUGAGACUGUGGGAAUACUGAGCGGCACCAGGUCAAGUUACACGAGAAACGGGGGAAACGAUUGCACCUCAACCUUAAAUGACAUUUUCAAAUAAACAGAUCGGCAUUUUGCUUCCGAUUGCUAAAACACAGCAGCGACCGAAAAUGCAGCCAGUUCAUGGAAGCCGCCGCCGCCGUUCCAAGCACAAAUCGCUUGAUUGCUCUCUCUCAGGAAGCACGUAUCGGCUGACAGACGGGCAUGUGAUCUACAGUAAUGUCCCAUAAUGUUUGCACCGAAGGACGUGAAGUCUUCAUCACAGCAGUGGACGCAGAGGAAGGUGGAGAACGGCAGUGUGGAACUCACAGUUUAUGUUCUGAGGCAGGUUAUUGUGCCUUUAUAUUAUUAUUAGACGCGCACUUGUUAUGACUGCCUGUCAAAUUAAAUUCAAAAGCCAAAGAUCAAUUCACAGAGGGGCUGGGAACAGUAAUGUUUGAAUAGUCUUACCACCCCCAACGCCAAGCAGCGUUAAUGUGUCAGCUCUCCGUCCAAAAACUAAUCCUGACAGCUUCAGCGGACGUUUUUAUCACGGACCUCAGCCCUCUACAGUGGCUGCGCUCAUCCUGGAAAGGUGACAUGAUACACAAGCAAAGAAAACACCACAAUUGUUUGAUGAAUUUAAAACAUUCACACUUCAGGGUCAGAAUGGGAAACAACUCGUUCACAAAAUCUCGUACGAAAGUGUGUAAUCAAAAAAAUCCUCCUUAGGUGACGUAAUGGCAAAACCACAUAUACAUAGAAGCCUCCCUGGACAAUGGCAGGAGUCCGGAAACGGUGAAACAAACAGAGCCAGCGGGCCGUGAUGAGAAAAGCAGUGCUUCACCUAAUCCCAAAACCAACUCAGCUGCCUUGUAAACCUGGCGAGCAUUUUUGCUGCAAUUGUGAACUUCCCCUCCUCUGAUUUUUGGGCUGACAGAGAGGUGUGCUUUUAAUAAAUAGAAAAGACAAUGGGUAGCAAACAGGGACAGGGGGAGUGAGCAUUCAUCCAGGGUGGCCUUCGCCUCCCCUCUUGAAACGAUUUCCAUCAGAGACAACGUGUGAAAUUAGCAGAAAACGUUCCAAAUCUUUUAUAACUCUUGGAGCAAAGCCGGAGGACAGAUAAAUCUCAUGGUUAUUAUCGAAAGAAUUGCAGUCUGGAAGGAUGAAAACGUAAAUAUCUCAUGUGGUGCAAUCCGUGACGGAAAGUUACAGCGAGUUUUUUUUAGAGAAGUAGAAACUUUUUGAAGCCGGACCACAUGACAGCUUAUGGAUUUCCCAGCUCUUUUUCCUCCCGUGAAUAGCUCAACGUCACGAUAACGCUUGAUGGAUGUUGAGAAUCAUAUUUUGGUUCUUGGGGUUUUCUGUCAAACCGAAACGUGUGUGAUGUCUUUGUAGCACCCGAGGAAGGCAAUGUGUGGUGACCCUUGAAGUGAGAACAAAAUCUGCUGGCUGAGGUUGACACGGAGAUGUAGAAGACGUUUACUGAGCUACCGAUUCGGUUCCUCCUCAGAGGUUAGCUUCCAGAAUAAAGUUGAUUCCUUAUUGUGAACAAAUGAAAAGACCAAAAGAAGCGCUGCGUUACUCAUACCAUAUGACCGUAUUCAUUUAUUGGAGACAUUAAAAAGUAUGUCAUUCAGAAGCAAUAAAACUAGUCUAAAAUCAUGCAAAUAGCACCUUUAAUAGAGCAGCAUUGUGUGGCUCGACGAGCAAUUAACGUCCAACACUGUUAUAUCUAAAUCAUUCGAUGAACUGUGGAGGUUAACAUUUAAUAUGACAACUAGUAUAGAAUAACAAGGAAUAUCUUUCCUUAUUAGGAAAAAAUAUUUUCCAUAAACCUUCACAACUCAGUUUUCUCACCCUUUGUCUGUUCAUGGUCAAAACACAACGGUCAAUAGUUCCUUAAGAGACAGUGAAGGCAUCAUGGAAGGAGAGGAAAGGACAGAAGAAAGAGAGGAAAAUAUGAGCUGUAACUUUUGAGCACCAAAAUCUACUUCAGUGUCAAAAACGCCCCUUUCAAAUGAGGCAAAACAUUCAUAAUAUCUGUAGUGCUGCCCAUUAGCUUAAAACACACCUCACACUGUGUUAUGAGCUUUUAAAAAGGGUCGCCAAAAUAAACAAAUUCAUCUUUAAAUGUCCAGUAUCUGGUGUACUAUUUUUACUCUCCCGCUCUGCGAGUGGAAGCCUCCAGACCAACGUAAUAGACCAAUUAUUUUUUUUUUGUUGAGGAAAUUAUUCACCAGCGGUCUUUCUUCUCUCUCUCCUCAAAAUCCGCCCCCCUUUUUUUCCCCCCUCUCAUUUAUUUGGUUAACGUGACCCCUGUGGCUAUGAAUCAAGAUUCCACGGUCCCUCCGUUUGAACUUCCUGCAAAAAUACACAGCACGGAGGGUCUUCCUGCAGUUCCACCUUCGCUCAAACCGAAUGGAGCCGCUGACCUCAAAUUCAGUGGAGAAAUUCUGCCGAGUUGCACAUGCGAGACGGGUGUGUGGUCAGCGGCCUUGGCGUAGCUCGCGCCUCUCGCGCCUCUCGCUUGGCCCUCUGACCGGUGACUUUUGUGUAUUCUGGGACCCCCCCCCCCGACCCCUCGAGUCCAGCCGGGUGUCGAGGCUAGGGCCACAGACAGAAGAAGCAGACGAAACUGGUUCAGCCUCCAAAAGGGGGAAGCGCGACAAAGAUCAAUAAACAGAGCUAAAUAUGCAGCGAGGAAGCAGGACAAAAAGCAGGACACGGAUGGCGUUUGCAGCCCCCCCCUCCUGGUCGGAGUGGGUUGGAUCGGCCUUGAAGGUAAUCCUUGCCUGCCGCCUCGGAAACUUGAUUGGCUUAGACAAACAGGUCCGGGUAGGUGAAGCAUUUGGCCGAUGGUUUAUCUGAGAGGUGCCUAUAAGCUGAUGUUGUGAUUAUUGGAUCAGCAUGUUUUGAAUUAUUACUAAGAAAUGAGACACCUCAUACAUCGGCCCCCUUGGGCGAGCCAUAACCGCACCAGAUCCUUUAAAAAAAAAAAAUCACUAUACUUGCAUAGCGGAGAAUCUUUUAAACCACUGGUUCCCAAUAUUUUAGGGCAUGGGACCUUUUAUAGCCAAGAAAUGUCUGUAACACCUUGUCCCAAGUAGAAGAACCACUCAAACAGACACACAGCAUUUAAUCCAAUAAACUGCUAGAUUAUUUGAUCCCCUCUCUUGCAGUUAUUGAAUGGAACCACUUCCUCUUUAAUUCCUUUCCUUCAUGAAUCUCCCAAAGCUGCAUUACAAUAUUGGACAUCGGUCGCAGGAAGCGUUGUCUUAUUUCAUUUCAACCAUUUUCUUUAUUUCAAUAGUAGAAGAGUACAAUUAAAAAAAAAUCAAUUUUUUAAAUAGUUUUUUCAAAACAUUUUCUAACUUAACAUCUUCUUAAUAAAAAAAAAUCUUAAAUUUUUGAGAUUUGAUUUUCCAUAACAUGUUUCCACAAUAUUUUUUACCAUAUACUUUAAUUCAAAGACAUAUUUUUCAAAACCUUUUUUGGAUUUUUCCCAUGAAACAUUUUUCUGCUUUUUUUGUUUCAAAAUAAAUUUCUUUUUUUAUGUCUUUUUAUACUUUAUUUUCAGACAUGUUUUGACACAACGUAUUUUGACUCUUUUUUUCAAAAUAUUUUUCUACACAACAGAUUUAGGGUUAAAAAAAAAAAAAUGAAUCAAUAUUUUUUUGACAAUUUCUUUCAUGACAUUUUUCAACCAACAUUAAAAUAAAACAAAACCAUUAUUUGUACGAAACAUCUUUAUUAAUGUCAGUAACAAAGUGGGACAUUUCACACCCUAUAUUGUCUCCUUUUAAAUGGCACUCAUAAUACAUACACUUCUACUACAUCCCCACCCCAAUGGUUAUCAUUUACAGUGGAAAACAAGGCUGGAGGAUUUGCCUUUCGAUUCUGUAAAUAGGUCAUAUUUAUAUUCUUUAUGGGAGGCCACCUUCGACCAUGAAUGGCGGCUGAAUGGCUUCCCGCUGUUGUAAAGUGAUGCUGCUUUGUGGUCCUGCAAGGCUCGCGGUAGAGCUGCGGAUCAUUACAUCGUAGGCUAACUUGACAUUAAUCAAAACCAGCCACUAAACAAUGAGCUCAUGAUACAAUUCAAUUUGUGGCGGUUCGUUCAUCUACAUUCCUCCCCCUUUCUGUCCCCCUCUGGCCACUCUCCCUAUCUGCUGUCGUGCGGGUCUCCGCAGCAACACCGACCUUUGACCCCCCCAGGAAGAGGGGCCCAGUUGAGCUAUGACUCGAGUAACUUAGUAGGUCCAUUCAGCGCUGUUCAACCCAAAACAAAUAACUCAGGGCCUGUAUUCUUUGAACCUCUCGGCUUCCCACAUUUCCAGGGUUAACGCCACUCCUGCUCCGGAGAGUGAUCUAUAGUUUCAUGCUUUGUCGUUUUUAUCGAGCCCUCUGACCCCGCAGUCACGCGGGGUCAUUUCAGUCGCCCGCGAGCGGUAACAAGAGCGCCAUUUCAUUUCAUAAAAAGCUGACUGAACCUGCUGUUUAGCCAGAGACCUGGUGCAAGAAUGGUGUCCGACAAGAGGUCAAGGAUGUCUCAAAAGUGAUCCCAAACCUCUUUUUUUUUCACAAAUGUUGACCGAAAGGGAGUCAGAGGGCAGCGGUUAAACGUCCCGUUACCUCUCACCGUCAAACCACAUCAACCGGCAGCACUUUGUUUCCUGUUCGACGAAGAUGAUGUUGAACCCAUGUCAGCGUUGGCCUACAGAGCCUCCGUAAUUUGCGAAAACGCGGAAAUUUGGCAGGAUAAAAAUCCUAACAAGAGCCAUGACCGCGUAGAUAACUUGAGAAGACAGCGUACCUCCGCGGUCUGCUCCGUGGCACGGCUCUCCAGAGGUCAUUACUAAUUUGUAUUGGCUACUUUCAUAUUUCGGUUUAGAAAUGAACAGAUUUGUUCCAAAGAUAAAGUUCAUCCACUUUGGAAAACAUAGCAUUGUAUGUGUGUGUGGGUGUGUGUGCUAUUAAAUACCCUGAGAGUGAAAAGUUUGCCAUUUUUUGAAGCAAGACCUUAAGUUGCAGGCUGAUGGGAUAAAUCCAUGGUAUUGGUUUUACAUUUGUGCCAACAAUGACUCUACUGGAAAAGGUGUCAGUUGUUUGAAACAAUGUGAGAAAUGUAUAUUAUGAGUUGUCUUUCCAGGACUGUCUCAGAGGUUUUUUUAAAACAUAUUUUGCCUGCUUACCGUAGUCGCCUCAUUUCAGAACUCUGAAACGCUGCCAAUGUCUCAAAUUUGAAUUGGAAUUCAAGGGCGAGCCUCGAGCGCCUUUUUACACAUUUACCUUAAACUGAAAUAUUUCUUUAAAUAACUUUAAUUCAAGCUGAAAUAUGAUCUGCGGGAUGAAUUCUCAUAAAAAUGAGAUGAAAAGAACCCGUCUCCAGUCUGAUUGUGUGGCAAAAAAAUAAAGGUGUGUGAAGGAUUCUGCAACUCUUAUUGACAUCAACUUAAUUUUCACUAUUUUGAUUCAUGUAUUUAUCCAUUAUUGAAAAGAAGAUGAAAAAUCACAAGCGAAUGCAUCGAUUGAUUGAUCUUCACAACACACGCUUGCCUUGUCUUCCGGUUUCUUUUGCCCGAGGGGCAUGGAGAGAGUGUUCAGCUGUGUGAGACCAGCAGUGUGUACCAUAACGUCAUUAGUUGCUAUGCAGCAGUGAAAAUAUUUUUUGUUGCUUCUGAAUAUCCAGCGAAGCUAAGAAGAUAAAGCUGUAUCGACUUAAUCAAGACAUUAUCUGCUCAUCUCCUCCGUGUUGUUGCACAUGGCGCGCGACGUGUGCGUCGGCGAGCCGUGGCCAACUUAGUGGAAAAAGUGCGAGCCCAUGCAAUUAAGGAUCAACACUUCCAACACAAACGUUGACGCCCCGUUACAGACACCGGAGGAGCCCCUGCUUCAGGGCUCUCUAUCAGCUCACACAAGCGGCACUCGGCCUGGAUUACCACAGGGAUAAUGUCUUUUGGCAUCAGCAUCGAAGGAUGGGAUAGAAGCAACGGGAGCGAUUUUUCCUGGUGGGAAAGCGCCGUCCGGGAUGUAAUAAAGAGCCCCGAACACUUCUGAACUCAUCCAAAGUCAGAGCAGCUGUGGUCAGAGGACCGGGGAGCUGCGCCGAUGGUCACUGCAUCGCGCCAACUGCUGUUUAAAAGGGAUGAAACGCAGCUGCUUUUACAGUUUGAGACGGUGAAGACUUGCCGGAUGGACGCGAAUGGAUGGCGUGUGUGUGCGGUCCUGAAGGGGGGGUAUGGGGGAGGGGAGGAGACCCCCCCCCCCCCUCUCCCGACCACAGCUGUAGGGCAAUGACCCACGUCUCUUCACUUACCUCGCAUCUUCGCCCGUUUCCCGUCUGAGCUGGGAUACCAUGCGGCUGAUAAUGACACGUAAAAUAAUAGCCGCGCGGAUGACGACAGCAUUUGACCUCCGACCUCGGGGGUGGGGAGGGAGAUUCACAGAGAGAGAGAGAGAAUUUGCAGGCGAAUCAGAGCUCGUCUUCUCGUCUCGUUGUGUGGCCACAGGAAAGCGUUAAUGGAGGCUGAUUUCUGCAGCCUUGAUUUGAGGAUGAGAGAGAGAGGGAGCUGUGGUCACCGCUCAAUCUGUCCCAUAUGGGGAAGACGCGCGGCUGCGGGGGUGAGCGGGGCGAGGGGGAGCCGCUCGUGUGGGAGUGCCGGCCCAGAAGGGGAUUUGGGACUGUGGCAGCGGCGUCAUGCUCCAGAGGAGGGGACUCGAGUGUAAAGUUCCAGACGUUACUAAUCUGGUUCAAUCAAACUGUUUUUAAAGUUGUUUAUCAGCGUUUCAUUUGUUGUACACGGCUCACAAGCUGUUUUUUUUGCAUCUUUAAUACUUAUCUAAUGCUGUAAUAUAGCUUAUCUUUUUCUUAGUUCCCUUAAAAGGACAUUGGAGUCUAACUUUCAGAACGAGAUGCCAAAUUGUCUUCACAUACAAAACUUUCCCACACUGAAGAAAUGAAUGUCUGGAAACAAGUCACACAAAAGAGAGCACCAAAGCUUCAGGCUCUUUGAUUCAGGCGUUUCAUAACAAGUUCAUUUAGUCUCAUUAGCCUAGCUUAUUAUAAUGACUGGAAGCAGGGGAACAUCUACUCUAAAUCCGUCCUAAAUUGAAAUGAUUUAUUCAUUUUUGGAGGUUUGGCUACGAACGUUGUAUCAGCCCACACAGCUCAGAAUAUGUGUUCACUACCAGAGAGGAGAGAAAUGCUGAAGAUACGUAAAAAUAACGACGGAAAGACAGACGGAGAACCCGACUAAUCCUUGUGGGAAGUCGGGGAAUACCACAUCUGCCCAGCCGGUAGCCUGUAGUUUCAAUCCACACAACAGCCGAUCCAUCAGAUGACAUGUUGAAGUGCGAGGCUUUUAGUGAGACAACGAGGCCCUUCCCGCUGACGUCUUCACGGGAACACCAGCCAAAUCCCCGAAACGCAUUUAAUAAAUGUAAACCGAGAAGGCUGAGAAACGGUACACUUUGCAGGAGGACGUUCCCUUUCUGCAGAGGUAUUGGCCUCUGAGACCACAGGAAGCCUGCAGGAUGUUCUCCUGCCUGUGUUCCUCCUCUAUGAUUGAGGUCUCGCUGAAAGUCCCAGCGGACACACGUCAUCCGAAAGAAAAAGGUAAUGCUGCAGGGAUCGGGACUGAUAUGUUGCAGCUGGGUUCAUCCUUUUUUUUAUUUUGUUAUUAAAUAAAUAAUAUUGGUACAGGGAAAGUGUUCGAGCAGGUGAAAGAAGGGGACUGGAAACGGUUUGUAACAAGCAUCUAAUGAGCCGUGGAGCAUCAUCCUCGUGAGCGACACUGUGUAAUUACCUCAUUCGCACAUGGAUACCAUAACAUUUGGUCCCUGGUUGUGCUUGCGCUCAUUUAGUGCAAAGAAAAAGACUCGUUGAACCCAAACACCCGCUAACGAAUUGACGCUUAGUUUGCAGUGAAAUUUGACGCUUCGUGCGGUCAAGUUGGUCUAAGACAACGCAGAAGGACCAGGACAGGAAACGAUUCCGAGGUUUGUGCUCAUCCACCGGGGUCGAAGUUCGCUUCUCAGGCUCUGAGGAAGCCGAUGGCCGAAUUGCCAACGGCUUUGGAUUAACGGCCACGAAGGAAGUCCUUGGACCAGCUUGGCACUGGCGGCUUCAAAGUCACCGUCGCAUUUGGUUGCUCCUGAAAAACUGUCGUCGUGUCUUCGGUGUGUGAAUUUGUUAUUUACAGGCCUGAAGGGCCGGCGGCACCUUGCAUGGCAGCUCCUGCCAUCGGUGAAUGAAUGAGUGUGAAUGGGUGACACGUAGCGCUUCGCUACACAAGCACGGUAUAUUUAUUAUGUAUGCGCUUUUUAUUUGAAUGGAAAGGGACUAUUUGUUUUGGAAAUGAAUGAACUCGACCAAGCUGAAAACACUUGACAUCAUGAGAUAUUUUAUAUUCCCUCCGAAGCGCAAAUGUUCCAUUUAAGGAGAUUAAUCUUAGCGGCAUUUUCGUUUUACGGUGAAAAAGCCGAGAGCUGGAGGCAGAAAUCCCCCUUUUCCCACCAACGUCUGGGGAGUCUUCGAGAGAGAGAAGGUUAAAACCCAGAUUUCUUAAAAGACAAACACGGUCCAACUCUGUCUGCACGUCUGCAUGCUGCAAACCCUUUUCUUAAUUAGCGAACCCAAGCAAAAAGAAAAAGGAAGCGCUUUACCUUGCACCCAUGGACCCACAGGCUAAAAGCAUGUUUGCAAUAACGUCCCCUAUCCAGUGUUGGCCGGCUGAGGCCGGAGCGCUGGCAGAGUGUCUGUUUGAUUUGGACGGGCGGUGUAAGCAUCUCUCCAGGCUUAUUUUUUCACCACGUCCUGUCUGCUCGUUUUACCUCUCUGUGUGUUGCUUCAGCUCGCGUUCCCUCUCUCUGCAUUUUGUAUUUUAAUCCGCGAUCACAGCUCUAACUGGGACGAUAAAACCACCAGGGGUUUAAAUGCAGAACGCUGACACAGACGUCCGGAAGUCCAUCAGUUUCAUCAGAAAAAGUCGGUGAAGGAAUAUUGUUAUGAUUUAUUUUGAUAAGCUGUUUAAAUGAUGCAACGUUUAAGGACUUAUGGUUGGAGGAAAAUACAUCUUGGUUAAGAUGGGAAAUCCGAUCUGAAUUCAUCGUUGUUUGAUACGCUGCUGAUUUUGAAGGAAAUACAGGAUGGAUUUCGUCUGUUGAGGAAAGUCAGCUGCUAUACAUCAAAACAAAAAAAAAAGAAUGCACAAGUCUGUUUUCGGUCAUCGCCGCGUUACCUACGGCUGAACCUCACUUUACAGCCAACGUGAACAAACCCAAAGAAAAGGAUGUUUUAUGGCAUCGACAUUGAGAAAAGACCUUCUGUUAACAUGAAUCAAAAAUACGCUCUUCCUUCAGGAGACAUAUCUCUAAAGCAGACUGGAUCCUGCACACUGAUUGUUUUAAGCUCUUUGUGGCUGCAAUCACGAGCAUCCCCAGAGCAACGACUCCAGCCAUCAGAUACAACUCCAGAGUCCUUGAGAUCAGCAGCGGAAACCCGCUUUCUGUCAACGCGCCAGGAAGCUUUAUUCAAUUGGAAAAACGACAGGCUGCGUUUGGUAUUUCAGCAGUUUUAAGGAUAAAGUGUAGCCUCCGAGCAACUGCCGGAGUAGAAAGAUUUAACAGAUGUGACUUUGAGCUAGAUUUUGUAGAUGUGUUAAUUAUUUACACUUUUUAAUCAUUUGCAACUAUUCUGAACCUCUAAAUGUUUUUUGGGCGUGAGGGAACUACAGCGUGUCGGGCCUCACUGUUUUUCGGCUGUUUUAUGGUCUUUUUGUUGCUUUGUCUGUCAAAGCACUUUAUAAACUGUUUCAACAUUAAUACUCAUAUUGCUGAGUAUUUGGGGUUUAGCCCCUGCCAACACCGUUUUGGACGGGUGCACUAACUUUUAGAUUUGUUUGUCAUAACUUUUGGUUUUGAAAAGCGAGACCCAAUCCUCGGGUUUUUAACAUCAAGACAGUAUGGAGGGAUGUUUUUAUCUUUUCUGACACAUCUGACCAUCCAGCAGACUCAAAUUGAUGCAGCUGAUACGAAUCAAAAAGUGAGCAGCUGUGAUUCCAGCCCUUUAAAUAUAGAGACACUGUAUGAAGAUGGUCAUUGCCACGCUCUCAAAAAUCAUUCCGAUUAUAUCAUGGAUAUUUAGGAUUUUAAAAACAUGUUUGGCCAAGUGUGCAACACCCAUUAGCGUCCACAUUCUGCGCCGGGUUUUCAUCUUUUCAACGGCGUGUGCAAAACAAACACGCCUCGCAUCCGCGCGUGAGGGAUGAGGAUGUGCUGUCCUUGAAUACAAGAUUUAAAAAAAAGAAACCUUUAUUUAGACGCCAGAGAUAAUCCCGCAGAGUGUGCUCUGGCGUUUAUUUACAGCCGAGUCCACAGCCAGCACAUAUCAUCCAAGAUCCAGUAAUUCAGAGAGCCUGGUCUCCGGUACGGACUCAGUCCCUCAAACGCCGCAUUCAUUGCUACAAUUAUCCUGUUACUUGGGACGUGACCAAAACAUGAGAUCACUGACCUACGCCGUCAUGUGACUGUGUGGACCGGAUGGGAACGCCACUGAGAAAAGCUGAAAUCUUGACAGCUGUUUUGUCCACCCAGUGACCAAUUGCAACCUCUUCAUUCAAUAAGAGAGUUUGGUCUCGCUGUGCGUGGAGAGAAGCUCAAAAUCGUGCCAAAUCUUCAGGACGUAUCGGAUCUGGAUCCCGUUAUACAUUUGAAAACAUUGUUCAUAGACUUUUUAUUAUCCUAUAAAGGCAGCGGACGAAUGAAUGUUACUGCAGCAAGAUAACCCAAACUACGCCCGAGAUGGUGUCAAUCAAAGUAAAUGUGGAGAUUGGAUGUAACAAGGCGGAAGAAGAAAAAGAAAACAUUCCCGAAGUUCCUAAAUGGUGGGAUUCACGGUGACUUGGAUUCAGCUCGUCAGGGGGCCAAAGGCACGCAGGAGCCCGACCGGCACCAAACUACCUGGUCUCAGAGGCUCAUGUUUGCAGCGAUGGCAAGUUUCCAUUGCGAAAAGGAAACUCUGCCAUUUGCAAUGCAAGACGGCGCUGAAAAUGUAAUUAAGGUCCCACACUUAUGUUGAGUCUUUUUUCUCAGAAACUCGGCUGCAGGAUUUAAAGUACGGUAUUCCAGGUCCAACUUUCCGAAAAACAUCAACACAGACUAAAUGAUAGAUUGUGUCUUCUGGUUCAGUAGAACGUGUCUCCGUGUGGUCUCAUGUGAAGUCUGUCAGGUUCAUCGUUUUGUUACAAAGAGAUGAUUAUAAACACACAAAACCACUGUUAGGGAGCUGGUUGGCUUGUCACAGAUUACAAAAGAUUCUAUUGUUGAAGGAUUUCUUCAAAUAAACAAUUUGAUCUAUUUCUAAAAUAACAAAAGCCUUUCAGACACCCAAUUGAAUAAACACCAGGUCUUUCACCGGGUUCGAGCCUCUGGCAGGAUUAUAACCCAAUUGUUCAAUUUAAUGGUUCCUCUAAAUGUUCUCACUCGGGGAACACUUUGGUGUUUUUACUAAAGAAUUUUGUACCAAGCCAAAUAUUUCUCUCUGUUAUUUAAAGUGUAUUUUCAGAAACGUACUUUUACUUAGUAUUAGAAGCAUAUUUGUACCAAGGCCGCGUGGAGGUGGAAACAGUAAUGAACUCUACUUCUGGCUGGAGUUGCAGCAGCAGUAGUUUAAACACCUAUUCAUGACACCGGCGUUACAUCACUUCACAGGCUAAAUGAAAGAAGCUUUGUCUUGCGAGCGCACCUGUUUCACGUGUAUUCACAUUUCAUUGCACGCUGCAUCGCGUUGACCGAAGCCGUAGUCCCCGCUGUUGAGUCGUUUAUUCUAAUCUUGUUAGACUGGGCAACGAUCGCAACUACAUCACUGCACGGUGGAAUAAUUCCAACUUGACUUUUCCGGGACAUGAAUGAAGCCAGAGAAAGGAGACAAGCACACGCUGGCCGACACUAAUUGGCUGUUCCUGCGGGUUUACACGUUGUUAUUGUACUUUUACGGUGCAUUAAAAAAGGGCGAAGGCUGCAAAUGACACGAUUCUUUUACCAAAGACGCAUUAAGUUGUUUCCAAGCUUGUUAGAUACAAACCGGUUGUAUGUGAUUUAUUUUGGCUGUAACGGUGAAGCGGAUGAAACCGUAAAAUCACAUUGACUUUUUAUUAAAAUUCUUAAAUACAGGUGGUGAGAGUGAACCAACACUCUGCAGAAUAAAGCUAUAAGGAGAGGAGACCUCAUCAAGCACUUUUCAUCCAGGAGCUUGAAGUGGGAGGGUGAGCAGCUUCAAAUACCUCGGGGUCCACUUCAGCGAGGACCUCACCUGGACACUCGACACAACGCAGCUGGUCAAGAAGGCUCAACAGCGGCUGUACUUCCUGAGGAGGCUGAGGAACUUUGGGAUGUCUCCCAAGAUCCUCAGCAACUUCUACAGCUGCAUCAUGGAGAGCAUAUUGAGCAGCUGCAUCACCGUGUGGUACGACAGCACAUCCAACAUGGAUCGCAAACGCCUGCAGAGAGUGGUGAGGACAGCAGAAAAGGUCACCAAGACCCCGCUGCCCUCUCUGCAGAGCAUCUACCACCGCAGGGUUCACAGGAGAGCUGCCUCCAUUCUCAAAGACCCCACCCACCCCCAACGUGGACUGUUCACGCUUCUACCCUCAGGCAGGAGGUACAGAAGUGCCAAAUGCAGGACCACCAGACUGAAAACACCUUUUUCCCCCACUGCCAUUAGAGCCAUCAACCGCUGAGAGGACUCUAUAACCUAAUCCACAACUGGUCUGCACAGGAUUUCACUCACUGUUACUGUACCGUUAAUUUAUAUUGCACACAUUUCAUUUAAUUUAAGUUUUUCUUUUACAACCUGCUCAGUUUUGCACUUUUCCCCUUACCUCAUUUCUGCCUCAUCCUCACCUCAUUUUUUAUUUCAUGUACAUUUAUGUAAAUAUUGUAUUCUUAUUUUAAUUUUAAUUUGAAAUAUUUACCACUGCUCCUACGCUAUGUUAAGAGCCCAUCACCAAAGCUACUAUAAUUCAGACUAUUAUCAAAGUCACAAAUCAACAGUCUCAAGGAAAAAUAGUGUAACACAAGUGUAUUUUGUCUUGAAAACUACCCAUAAAAGUUCCCUUUCUUUUGCAAAACAUGGCCUGGUUCUGUGAAGCAGACUGAAGCAUUCCAAUACCCUCCACCUUCAUGUAAUACAUGACCUACUGCACACCGCUGGAGUCCCCACGAGCUUGCAGCCCCCCCACUAACUUCCCCCCAAAAGCCCCCCAAGCAUCCCGGCUUCUGUAAGCAAUUAACAAUCAUUUUUCCUAUGCGAGCCAUACUGAUAUUUCCUCUCCCUCUCCUCUGGACGAAUGCAACUAGAAGGAAAAAAACAACACGGGUUUAAAGGUUGUAAACACGCCGAGGAUCUGGUCGAGAGAUGAUUACAGCAAUUUCCACGAUUCAUUCGGAGCGAAGCGCGGCCGAUAACGUCCGGGAACUCUGCAGCAUUAUGACGACACCGGGAGGAUGCAAAGGGAAGAGCGUUAACGCAGCUACGGGAUAUAACCAGUGCUGCUGCCGCCACCACCGGCACGCUGUUGUUGUUCCGUCACUCCCGCCUUCAUUCAUAGCUGCAAAAACCACCACUGGCAGAAUUCUAUUACUUUAGCAUCUGCUGAAUC